RNAcentral lists this ribosomal RNA (253 nucleotides) under uncultured bacterium. RNAcentral's name for it is "partial 16S ribosomal RNA". It matches the Rfam family "Bacterial small subunit ribosomal RNA", at positions 524 to 776 of the family's 1533-position model. The record is from RNAcentral.
UACGUAGGGUGCAAGCGUUGUCCGGAAUUAUUGGGCGUAAAGAGCUCGUAGGCGGUCUGUCGCGUUGUUCGUGAAAACCGGGGGCUUAACCCUCGGCGUGCGGGCGAUACGGGCAGACUUGAGUACUGCAGGGGAGACUGGAAUUCCUGGUGUAGCGGUGGAAUGCGCAGAUAUCAGGAGGAACACCAGUGGCGAAGGCGGUGCUCUGGGCCGGAACUGACGCUGAGGAGCGAAAGCGUGGGGAGCAAACAGG